CAUGCUGUAAACGAUGAGUGCUAGGUGUUGGAGGGUUUCCGCCCUUCAGUGCCGUAGCUAACGCAUUAAGCACUCCGCCUGGGGAGUACGCCCGCAAGGUUGAAACUCAAAGGAAUUGACGGGGGCCCGCACAAGCGGUGGAGCAUGUGGUUUAAUUCGAAGCUACGCGAAGAACCUUACCAGGUCUUGACAUCUUGCGCUAACCUAAGAGAUUAGGCGUUCCCUUCGGGGACGCAAUGACAGGUGG
This 247-nucleotide ribosomal RNA is filed under the name uncultured Lactobacillus sp. RNAcentral's name for it is "partial 16S ribosomal RNA". It matches the Rfam family "Bacterial small subunit ribosomal RNA", at positions 796 to 1041 of the family's 1533-position model. Lineage: Bacteria; Bacillati; Bacillota; Bacilli; Lactobacillales; Lactobacillaceae. The record is from RNAcentral.